CCUACGGGAGGCAGCAGUAAGGAAUAUUGGUCAAUGGACGGAAGUCUGAACCAGCCAUGCCGCGUGAAGGAUGACUGCCCUCUGGGUUGUAAACUUCUUUUAUCUGGGACGAAAAAAGGGCUUUUUAGCUCACUUGACGGUACCAGAGGAAUAAGCACCGGCUAACUCCGUGCCAGCAGCCGCGGUAAUACGGAGGGUGCAAGCGUUAUCCGGAUUUACUGGGUUUAAAGGGUGCGUAGGUGGGCAGGAAAGUCAGUGGUGAAAUCUCCGGGCUUAACCCGGAAACUGCCAUUGAUACUAUUUGUCUUGAAUACUUUGGAGGUAAGCGGAAUAUGUCAUGUAGCGGUGAAAUGCUUAGAUAUGACAUAGAACACCAAUUGCGCAGGCAGCUUACUACACAGUAAUUGACACUGAGGCACGAAAGCGUGGGGAUCAAACAGGAUUAGAUACCCUGGUAGUCCACGCCCUAAACGAUGGAUACUCGACAUUAGCGAUAUACAGUUAGUGUCUGAGCGAAAGCAUUAAGUAUCCACCUGGGAAGUACGAUCGCAAGAUUGAAACUCAAAGGAAUUGACGGCUGAGAGNGCGAGACGACGACGAGGGAGGAGG
RNAcentral lists this ribosomal RNA (609 nucleotides) under uncultured bacterium. RNAcentral's name for it is "bacterial SSU rRNA". It matches the Rfam family "Bacterial small subunit ribosomal RNA", at positions 338 to 948 of the family's 1533-position model. The record is from RNAcentral.